RNAcentral lists this ribosomal RNA (1397 nucleotides) under metagenome. RNAcentral describes it as "SSU rRNA". It matches the Rfam family "Eukaryotic small subunit ribosomal RNA", at positions 482 to 1777 of the family's 1831-position model. The record is from RNAcentral.
AAUGCAGUGCCCGAACAGGGCGUUGUAAUUGGAAUGAGAACAAUUUAAUUCCCUUAUCGAUUAACAAUUAGAGGGCAAGUCUGGUGCCAGCAGCCGCGGUAAUUCCAGCUCUAAUAGCGUAUAUUAAAGUUGUUGCAGUUAAAAAGCUCGUAGUUGGAUUUCGGCGUGCGCUCAGGCUGGUCGGCCGUCAAGGUCUGUACCGUUUGGGUCACGCCCCACUGUAGGAUACUCACCGCUGUCCUUAACUGGGUGGCGGUCAAAGGGGGUGUGCAUGGGGGCAACUCUGUGCAUAUCUCUGGGGUUCCUACUCUUUUACCUUGAGCAAAUUAGAGUGUUCAAAGCAGGCAAUCGAGCCUUGAAUACUUCAGCAUGGGGUAAUGGAACAGGACUGGGGUCCUGAUUUCGUUGGUUUCUGGGAUCUCAGUAAUGAUUAAUAGGGAUAGUUGGGGGCAUUAGUAUUUAAUUGUCAGAGGUGAAAUUCUUGGAUUUAUGAAAGACUAACUUCUGCGAAAGCAUUUGCCAAGGAUGUUUUCAUUAAUCAAGAACGAAAGUUAGGGGAUCGAAGACGAUCAGAUACCGUCGUAGUCUUAACCAUAAACGAUGCCGACCAGCGAUUGGGAGACGUUACAUGGAUGACUCCCCCAGCAGCUUGCGAGAAAUCACAAGUCUUUGGGUUCCGGGGGGAGUAUGGUCGCAAGGCUGAAACUUAAAGGAAUUGACGGAAGGGCACACCAGGAGUGGAGCCUGCGGCUUAAUUUGACCCAACACGGGGAAACUUACCAGGUCCAGACAUAGUAAGGAUUGACAGAUUUGAGAGCUCUUUCUUGAUUCUAUGGGUGGUGGUGCAUGGCCGUUCUUAGUUGGUGGAGUGAUUUGUCUGGUUAGUUCCGUUAACGAACGAGACCUUAACCUGCUAAAUAUGUCACUGGUAGACUUCUGCCAAAACAGGUGGGUGUCUAGGGGAAAGUUUCGAUGGACUCCGACGCAUUCAUCUGUGGAUGACUACCAGGAUGUACUUCUUAGAGGGACUAUCUGUAUCAAAGCAGAUGGAAGUUUGAGGCAAUAACAGGUCUGUGAUGCCCUUAGAUGUUCUGGGCCGCACGCGCGCUACACUGACAAGUUCAACGAGUUUAACACCUUGCUCGAUAGGGCUGGGUAAUCUUUGAAAAACUUGUCGUGAUGGGGAUAGAUCAUUGUAAUUAUUGGUCUUCAACGAGGAAUUCCUAGUAAGCGUGAGUCAUCAGCUCGCGUUGAUUACGUCCCUGCCCUUUGUACACACCGCCCGUCGCUCCUACCGAUUGAAUGAUCCGGUGAAAUGUUGGGAGCUGGGGUCUUUUGGCGGCGGGGCAACUCGUCGUCAGGGAUUUUGCAAACUUCAUUAAACCUUAUCAUUUAGA